This 443-nucleotide ribosomal RNA is filed under the name uncultured bacterium. Its description in RNAcentral is "partial 16S ribosomal RNA". It matches the Rfam family "Bacterial small subunit ribosomal RNA", at positions 338 to 795 of the family's 1533-position model. The record is from RNAcentral.
CCUACGGGUGGCAGCAGUGGGGAAUAUUGGGCAAUGGGCGCAAGCCUGACCCAGCAACGCCGCGUGAAGGAAGAAGGCUCUCGGGUUGUAAACUUCUUUUAUCAGGGACGAAGCAAGUGACGGUACCUGAUGAAUAAGCCACGGCUAACUACGUGCCAGCAGCCGCGGUAAUACGUAGGUGGCAAGCGUUAUCCGGAUUUACUGGGUGUAAAGGGCGUGUAGGCGGGAAAGCAAGUCAGAUGUGAAAACCAUGGGCUCAACCUGUGGCCUGCAUUUGAAACUGUUUUUCUUGAGUACUGGAGAGGCAGACGGAAUUCCUAGUGUAGCGGUGAAAUGCGUAGAGAUUAGGAGGAACACCAGUGGCGAAGGCGGCUUUCUGGACUGAAACUGACGCUGAGGCACGAAAGCGUGGGGAGCGAACAGGAUUAGAUACCCUAGUAGUC